CCUACGGGGGGCAGCAGUAAGGAAUAUUGGACAAUGGGCGCAAGCCUGAUCCAGCCAUGCCGCGUGCAGGAUGACGGCCCUAUGGGUUGUAAACUGCUUUUAUACGGGAAAAAACCCCUCUACGUGUAGAGGGCUGAUGGUACCGUAAGAAUAAGGAUCGGCUAACUCCGUGCCAGCAGCCGCGGUAAUACGGAGGAUCCGAGCGUUAUUCGGAUUUAUUGGGUCGAAGGGGUAUGUAUGAGUCUUUGGAGAAAUCCUGUAGCUGAACUGUAGAACUGCCAUUGAUACUGCAAGUCUUGAGUACAUAUGAUGUGGGCGGAAUGUGUAGUGUAGCGGUGAAAUGCUUAGAUAUUACACAGAACACCAAUUGCGAAGGCAGCUCACAAAACUGUAACUGACGCUGAGGCACGAAAGCGUGGGGAGUGAACAGGAUUAGAUACCCUGGUAGUC
Molecule: ribosomal RNA, 450 nt
Filed under: uncultured bacterium
Lineage: Bacteria
Description: partial 16S ribosomal RNA
Rfam family: Bacterial small subunit ribosomal RNA
Source: RNAcentral